This 1218-nucleotide ribosomal RNA is filed under the name uncultured Rhizaria. RNAcentral's name for it is "SSU rRNA". It matches the Rfam family "Eukaryotic small subunit ribosomal RNA", at positions 577 to 1805 of the family's 1831-position model. The record is from RNAcentral.
CGGUAAUUCCAGCUCCAAUAGCGUAUACUAAAGUUGUUGCAGUUAAAAAGCUCGUAGUUGGAUUUCUGCGGGGACGGAGCGGCCGGUCGCAACUUGCGACUCGAGCUAGCGCUUUCCCCGCAUCCUGCCGCGAACCGUGCUACCAUUAGCUUGGUGGCGCUGGGGAUCGGCUCGAUUACUUUGAGAAAAAUAGAGUGUUCAAAGCAGGCCACACGCCUUGAAUAAGUUAGCAUGGAAUAAUGACUAAGGACUUCGGUUCUAUUUUGUUGGUGUUCGGGACUGAAGUAAUGAUUGAUAGGGACAGUUGGGGCGGUCUGUAUUCCAAAGCGAGAGGUGAAAUUCUUAGACCUUCGGAAGACAAACAGCUGCGAAAGCGUUCCGCAAGGAUGUUCCCUUUGAUCAAGAACGAAAGUUGGGGGAUCGAAGACGAUCAGAUACCGUCGUAGUCUCAACUAUAAACUAUACCAGCUAGGGAUCGGUCAACGUUUAAUCAUUCGACUUGAUCGGCACCUUAUGAGAAAUCAAAGCAUCUGGGUUCCGGGGGGAGUAUGGUCGCAAGGCUGAAACUUAAAGGAAUUGACGGAAGGGCACCACCAGCCGUGGAGCCUGUGGCUUAAUUUGACUCAACACGGGAAAACUUACCAGGUCCAGACAUAGUAAGGAUUGACAGAUUGAUAGCUCUUUCUUGAUUCUGUGGGUGGUGGUGCAUGGCCGUUCUUAGUUGGUGGAGUGAUUUGUCUGGUUAAUUCCGUUAACGAACGAGACCCCAGCCUGCUAAAUAGCGCGGUUGAGCUUUGCUCGAUGCGAGCUUCUUAGAGGGACUAUGAUGCGCGAUAGCACAUGGAAGUUUGGGGCAAUAACAGGUCUGUGAUGCCCUUAGAUGUUCUGGGCCGCACACGGGCUACACUGGCGCCUGCAACGAGCAUAUCAGCUGGCCCGAGAGGGUCUUGGCUAAUCUUUUGAACCGGCGCCGUGCUUGGGAUUGACCAUUGCAAUUGUUGGUCAUGCAACGAGGAAUGCCUUGUAAACGCGAGUCAUCAGCUCGCAUUGAAUACGUCCCUGCCCUUUGUACACACCGCCCGUCGCUCCUACCGAUGAAUGUUCCGAUGAAAUUUUCGGAGAGCGCCAGAGAACGGGGCUCCGCCUUGCAGAUCUGGAGGCUCAAAGUCACUUAAAUCUGAACAUUUCGAGGAAGGAGAAGUCGUAACAAGGUAGCCG